RNAcentral lists this ribosomal RNA (542 nucleotides) under Bifidobacterium longum subsp. suillum. Its description in RNAcentral is "bacterial SSU rRNA". It matches the Rfam family "Bacterial small subunit ribosomal RNA", at positions 147 to 704 of the family's 1533-position model. Lineage: Bacteria; Bacillati; Actinomycetota; Actinomycetes; Bifidobacteriales; Bifidobacteriaceae. The record is from RNAcentral.
CUCCUGGAAACGGGUGGUAAUGCCGGAUGCUCCAGUUGAUCGCAUGGUCUUCUGGGAAAGCUUUCGCGGUAUGGGAUGGGGUCGCGUCCUAUCAGCUUGACGGCGGGGUAACGGCCCACCGUGGCUUCGACGGGUAGCCGGCCUGAGAGGGCGACCGGCCACAUUGGGACUGAGAUACGGCCCAGACUCCUACGGGAGGCAGCAGUGGGGAAUAUUGCACAAUGGGCGCAAGCCUGAUGCAGCGACGCCGCGUGAGGGAUGGAGGCCUUCGGGUUGUAAACCUCUUUUAUCGGGGAGCAAGCGAGAGUGAGUUUACCCGUUGAAUAAGCACCGGCUAACUACGUGCCAGCAGCCGCGGUAAUACGUAGGGUGCAAGCGUUAUCCGGAAUUAUUGGGCGUAAAGGGCUCGUAGGCGGUUCGUCGCGUCCGGUGUGAAAGUCCAUCGCUUAACGGUGGAUCCGCGCCGGGUACGGGCGGGCUUGAGUGCGGUAGGGGAGACUGGAAUUCCCGGUGUAACGGUGGAAUGUGUAGAUAUCGGGAAA